RNAcentral lists this long non-coding RNA (663 nucleotides) under Olea europaea subsp. europaea. Lineage: Eukaryota; Viridiplantae; Streptophyta; Magnoliopsida; Lamiales; Oleaceae. The record is from RNAcentral.
CCUCUUUCUCUUUCCCGUGUUCGUCUUCUUCAUGUGCUCUUGGUAGUUUCAUCUACCGAAUUAUUUUAGUAUAAUUUCUUGAAUGAAAUCCGAGGUCUAUUAAUUGAUAACAGUCCUCUCUGUGUCGGUAAUUUAUACCUGUUUUGAAGGUCUUUGAGAGUUCGAACGAUACUUUGCAUGUUAUUGAGGCUAUGCUGAUGGAUUUAAACGUAAUCGUAAAGGAUGCUAAACAAGGGGAUUAAACGUUAAAAGUGGUUACUGAACCUACGGGGCCUAAGGCCGAAAAAUUCUUUUGUUCUUUACUUUCUUGUUUACAUUUUUGUGUUCUUGAUGCUAGUUAAGUCUUAAUCUGGGACCAACAGAGAUAUCAGAGUCCAAAAGUUUGAUGUGAAAGUUGAUCCAUUUUUGUUAUUCUUCUGGUUUUUUCCAAACCUUAGAUCUUUAAUGAUUUGUUGAUAUUUUUCAAGGAAGUUCUCUGAUCUGAACAUGGUGUGGAUUUUUUGGUAUUCUUGGUUAUUUCUUUGAAACGCAGCUUCGGUAACAGGUUUCUCAACCUCUUCUUCAUAGUUUUUUCAACUUCAAGUAAUCUUUGAAAAGGAUUGUUGAAAACCUCCCUUAAAUUUACCUUUGUCUAGGGAUCUUGAGAGAACCAUAGAAUCUGAG